AAGCGGNAGAGCUCAAAUUUGAAAGCUGGCCCCUUCGGGGUCCGCGUUGUAAUUUGCAGAGGAUGCUUCGGGUGCAGCCCCCGUCUAAGUGCCCUGGAACGGGCCGUCAUAGAGGGUGAGAAUCCCGUCUGGGACGGGGUGUCUGCGUCCGUGUGAAGCUCCUUCGACGAGUCGAGUUGUUUGGGAAUGCAGCUCUAAAUGGGUGGUAAAUUUCAUCUAAAGCUAAAUACUGGCCGGAGACCGAUAGCGCACAAGUAGAGUGAUCGAAAGAUGAAAAGCACUUUGAAAAGAGAGUUAAACAGCACGUGAAAUUGUUGAAAGGGAAGCGUUUGCGACCAGACUCGCCCGCGGGGUUCAGCCGGCAUUCGUGCCGGUGUACUUCCCCGUGGGCGGGCCAGCGUCGGUUUGGGCGGCCGGUCAAAGGCCCUCGGAAUGUAUCACCUCUCGGGGUGUCUUAUAGCCGAGGGUGCAAUGCGGCCUGCCUGGACCGAGGAACGCGCUUCGGCUCGGACGCUGGCGUAAUGGUCGUAAAUGACCCGUCUUGAAACACGGGACCA
This 557-nucleotide ribosomal RNA is filed under the name Aspergillus fumigatus. RNAcentral describes it as "eukaryotic LSU rRNA". It matches the Rfam family "Eukaryotic large subunit ribosomal RNA", at positions 97 to 664 of the family's 3401-position model. Lineage: Eukaryota; Fungi; Ascomycota; Eurotiomycetes; Eurotiales; Aspergillaceae. The record is from RNAcentral.